ACCUCCCCCACCAUUUUUCAGGUAUCGCGGGCGAUGAGUAGUGGGACGAGACGUGAGGUGCGUGUGUAGCGGUCGAUAGAGCUUCCGACCCAGGUUAUUUCGGUAUAGUUAUUACCCCUAUUAUUUCUGUUGAUGUAUAGUUUGGUUGGUUUAUGUGGUUUAGUAUUUCAUUACGUUAAAAUAAAAGGAAUUCUGGAUUUUGUAAAAUAAAAGGUUUUCUACCCCUCGUGGUAGCGUUUUUAAAAGAUAAAAGUUUCCGUGUAGGGAAUAGUUUUCAAAAGGUUUUCUGUGGAUUUUGUGUCUUAGUAUUUCAAAACCUAUUUCUGAGUUGGAAACAUUUUAACUGAUAGAUGUGGAUUUAUGUUUAAAUAUUGAGUAUAUAAAUGUGAACCUGUGAUGUGAAUGGUGUAUGAAUAUAUAAUUGUUGGUUAUUUGUAUAUUCAUUUGGUUGUGGNUUUACUUAUAUGUUUAUUGGUUGUUAAUAUAGGUUGUGGUUGUACCUGGGUUACUUCUUGUACUUGUGCGACGCCGUGCAAAUACAGGGGAGACUCUGUCCGUGUGCAUAGUGGAUUCCCUGUAUUUGUGGCAGAUCUGGCAUACUCUGGGGUCAGAUUUUCAAAAAAAAAAAUUCAGACGCUUUUCCGCUAUCUUUUAAACUGAAAGGGACCCCGGGGCGUGACAGUAAAAGGCCCCAAAAGGGCUACUGUGACAUCAACACAAGAAAGCUAGACUCCGG
This 736-nucleotide long non-coding RNA is filed under the name Ananas comosus (pineapple). RNAcentral describes it as "long non-coding RNA (ACOM_LNC019421)". The record is from RNAcentral. Lineage: Eukaryota; Viridiplantae; Streptophyta; Magnoliopsida; Poales; Bromeliaceae.